GAAGGUAUAGCUCAAUGGUAGAGCACAUGCUUAACAUUCACGGGGUCCUGGGUUCAAUCCCCAGUAUCUCUA
This 72-nucleotide transfer RNA is filed under the name Camelus bactrianus (Bactrian camel). It matches the Rfam family "tRNA". From Rfam's summary of the family: Transfer RNA (tRNA) molecules are approximately 80 nucleotides in length. Their secondary structure includes four short double-helical elements and three loops (D, anti-codon, and T loops). The record is from Rfam by way of RNAcentral. Lineage: Eukaryota; Metazoa; Chordata; Mammalia; Artiodactyla; Camelidae. RNAcentral also lists the same sequence under 2 other names.